RNAcentral lists this ribosomal RNA (429 nucleotides) under uncultured bacterium. RNAcentral's name for it is "bacterial SSU rRNA". It matches the Rfam family "Bacterial small subunit ribosomal RNA", at positions 29 to 506 of the family's 1533-position model. The record is from RNAcentral.
ACGAACGCUGGCGGCAGGCCUAACACAUGCAAGUCGAACGCCCCGCAAGGGGAGUGGCAGACGGGUGAGUAACACGUGGGAACGUACCCUUUGGUUCGGAACAACUCAGGGAAACUUGAGCUAAUACCGGAUAAGUGCGAGAGCAGAAAGAUUUAUCGCCGAAGGAUCGGCCCGCGUCUGAUUAGCUAGUUGGUGAGGUAACGGCUCACCAAGGCGACGAUCAGUAGCUGGUCUGAGAGGAUGAUCAGCCACACUGGGACUGAGACACGGCCCAGACUCCUACGGGAGGCAGCAGUGGGGAAUAUUGGACAAUGGGCGAAAGCCUGAUCCAGCCAUGCCGCGUGAGUGAUGACGGCCUUAGGGUUGUAAAGCUCUUUUACCCGGGAAGAUAAUGACGGUACCGGGAGAAUAAGCCCCGGCUAACUUCGU